Long non-coding RNA from Oncorhynchus tshawytscha (Chinook salmon), 403 nucleotides. Lineage: Eukaryota; Metazoa; Chordata; Actinopteri; Salmoniformes; Salmonidae. The record is from Ensembl.
UAGCCUAGUGGUUAGAGUGUAGAGGAGGCAGGUAGCCUAGUGGUUAGAGUGUAGAGGAGGCAGGUAGCCUAGUGGUUAGAGUGUAGAGGAGGCAGGUAGCCUAGUGGUUAGAGUGUAGAGCUGGCAGCCUAGUGGUUAGAGUGUAGAGGCAGGCAGCCUAGUGGUUAGAGUGUAGAGGCAGGCAGCCUAGUGGUUAGAGUGUAGAGGGGGCAGGGUAGCCUAGUGGUUAGAGGGUAGAGGCAGGUAGCCUAGUGGUUAGAGUGUAGAGGCAGCAGGUAGCCUAGUGGUUAGAGUGUAGAGGUGGCAGGUAGCCUAGUGGUUAGAGUGUAGAGGAGGCAGGUAGCCUAGUGGUUAGAGUGUAGAGGAGGCAGGUAGCCCAGUGGUUAGAGUGUAGAGCUGGCAG